This 289-nucleotide signal recognition particle RNA is filed under the name Eptatretus burgeri (inshore hagfish). RNAcentral describes it as "Metazoan signal recognition particle RNA (ENSEBUG00000000205.1)". The stretch from base 61 to 262 matches the Rfam family "Metazoan signal recognition particle RNA", at positions 71 to 271 of the family's 299-position model. Rfam says of the family: The signal recognition particle (SRP) is a universally conserved ribonucleoprotein. It is involved in the co-translational targeting of proteins to membranes. The record is from RNAcentral. Lineage: Eukaryota; Metazoa; Chordata; Myxini; Myxiniformes; Myxinidae.
GCUAUGUCGAUUGGGCAUCCGCACCAAGCUCGGCAUAGACAUUGUGAGCUGGAUGAGGACGGAUCACCUGCUCUACACCUCGCUAUAUCGAUUGGGCGUCCGCACCAAGCUCAGCAUAGACAUGGUGAGCCGGGGGUAGUCCCGCGCUCUCCAGGUCCCCUAAGGAGGGAUGAACCAACCCAGGCUGGUAACGGAGCAGGUCAAAGUCCCUGUGUUGAUCGGUGGUGGUACAGCACCCAUGAAUAGAAGGUGUAGGGCAGCCCGGUAUCAUGGCGAAACCCAAUCCUUU